UUUAUAUUAGUUGCCUUUUUACAUAUCUUGUAUAGCUUUGAUAUAGCAACCCAAACUUCUUCCUUUUUGAAGGCUUUCCAAAGUGCUUUUCUUGAUAUGUGAUUAUAAGUUAUCUUCAAAUCAAUGGAAACCAUGUAUAAGUCUCUAUCUUUGUUUCGAUACUUUUCGUUUAAUUUCCUUAGUAGAUAUAUCACAUUUAUUGCAGCCCUUUCCUACAUGAGCCAAAUUGGUCUCAAAAAUAUCAGUCUCCAACCUUAACUAAUGUUCAAUUACUCUUCCCUGUAAUUUUAUUGGAUGGCUCACAAGCUUUAUCCUUUUGUAGUUUGCACAAUUUUGAAUAUCCUUUUUAUUCUUGUAAAUGAGAGUUAAAGUGCUUCUCCUUUAUUCAUUAGGUAUCUUCUUAGACUGUAAAAUCUUAUUAAAUAGCUUUGUCACAAUAUCCUCUCUUCACCUAAACAUUUUCACAUUUCAAUAGGGAUUCUAUUAGGUUUAGUGGUUGUACCAUUUUUCAUUUUCUUGAGAGCAUCUUUAAUCUUGCUAUCUCAAAUCCUAUGAUAAGGCAUCAAAUUCUAUUCUUCUCGAGUUAAGUCCUCCAAUUUGUCUUUAAUAUCUCUAUUUGUAACCAAAACUUUUCGAACACUAGGAAAAUGAUGGGAAGCUAGUUGAUAAAGAAGGGUAUCAGUGACUUGUGGGGAAACUCAUGUCUUUCCCACGACACUAGAUAUUACUUUGCUGUAAGUGUAUUAAGUCAACACUUUCUGUGUCCUAAAUAGAGGCAUCUUGAGGUUGUGCGUAGGAUUCUAAAGUGUUUGAAAAGCACCCUAGGACAAGGCCUCUAGCUUUAAAAGAUAAAUCAGACCCACAUUCAAGUUUAUACUGAUGCGGAUUAGGUAGGCUCACUUGAAGAUAGCCAGGGUGACCGUUUGUGGGGAGAAGUCUAGUUACCUGGAGAAGCAAAAAAUAGAAUAUAUUAGCUGUAAGUUGUGCUGAAGCCAAAUUCAGAUCUGUUGCACAAGGCAUUUGUGAAGGAUUGUGGCUUAAGAGUGCUUGGAGAGUUGCAUAUUCCAUUAGAUUCUCCUAUCAAGCCCUAUUGUGUUAAUAAUGCAGCCAUGAACAUCUCCUAUAAUCCUGUUCAGCAUGAUAGAACUAAGUUUGUGGAAGUUGACAGACACUUCAUCAAAGAUAAAAUAGAAGAAGGCAUUGUUUGCAUGCAUCCCUUAUGCACCAAGAAGGAAUGAAAUAGCUGAUAUAUUAACAAAGGUUCCCUAAAAAGUGGAAUUUGAAGAUUGUGAGCAAGUUGGACAUGACCAAUAUCUAUGACCCAACAUGAGGAGCGUGUAAAUAUUUAAGAUUUUAGAAUUUAAUUUACUUAUCCUUAUUUGUAAAUGUUUAAUUGUCUAGGAUACUGUAGAUAUUUUAUUUUUUACCUGCCAGAUACUGUAAAUCCUAGUAGAUCCCUAUUAUUUCGACCAAGUGCUCUCUCUAAGCUAUAUUUAUGUUUUGUCCUCCAUAUGAAUGAAAAUAUGACUCUUCUUUGGUCUAUCUUGUUCAAAAUUAUCUUUUACUUUUUCAAGUAUGUAUUAUAUAGGCUUUUAUAGUUUUGUAUGCUUUAGGUUGCAGUUGAGAAGUCUACGGUGGACAAUUCACUGCAUGGGUCAACAAAAGAAAUUGAGAUUGGGAAGAACGGCACUGUCAUUAAGAAUGACCUAGUUGCAGUUGACGAGUCUAUGGUGGAUGAUUUAGCAGCUGGACAGACAAAAGAAGUCAAAAUUAGGAAAAACAACAAUGGCAUUAGAAAAGAGCAACGGUAUACAGAUACAGUGAAUGAACAUUAUUCCAAGCAGGAUGGAUUUCUCUGUAUUGAGUCAGGAGAUAUAAGCACAUGUUCGUUUGAGCCAAAUAAAAGACAAAUUAAAAUUGAAGACUGAUAUGAUAGAGAGAGAGGAAGAAAGAGAGGGAUAUGAUAAACAGAGAACUGAAUAGUGCUCAGACAUUGUGAAUAACAGCAUAGCAUACAUCUAGGUCUAAACAUCUUAUUUAUAGACUAGGAGCCUUAACUUUCAUAAUUACUAAAACCCAGCUAACUCUUAUUAUAUAUAUUAUUUACAUAUCAAUAACCCCCCUUAAACAACCCUCGUCCUCAAGGUAGGAAUGGGAAAAUUUGGAAAUUGCUUCUGAUAACUGGACUGUGACAUCCAGGUAUCUUCCUCAUUGGAUCAAAAUUUCAGCAAUGAUCCUGCUUUUCUUUCUUCCUACCCUUUUAUUUAAUAUUUUCUUAGGAACUAACGCUGCUUGGACUUCCGGCCAAUCUUAUGGGGGAUGUCUCUGUUUAACUGAAGGAUUUGGACAUAGCUUGUGUAAUGAUACAUGGAAGGUUGAAUGAAUCCUGGACACAAGGUAAUUGCAGCUUGUAGGGGACCUUCUUUACUCUUCCUAUCACCUUAUAUGGUCCAAAGUAUCUUGGUGCUAGCUUUUGGGUGCUUCAAGAGGCAAUUGAGAUCUGUCUAUAGGGUUGUAGUUUCAAAAAACCCACUGCCCUAUUUCAAAUUCACAAUCAGACCUCUUUAAAUCAGCCUUAUAUUUCAUAUGAUUUGCUUCACUUCUUAAGUGAUGCUUUAAUACCCCAAUCAUGCGUUCUCUUGCUUUAAAGCUUUUAUCUACUUCCACUAUCGCUUCCCUAGGCUAGUGAGGAGUCUAAAUGGAUGGCUUCUGAACAUAAAGCAAUUUAUAUGGUGUUGCUUUAGUUGAAGUGUGAAAGCUGGUGUUGUAUCACCAUUAAGCCAAUGUUUACAACUUGCUCCAUAAUCCCAAAUAGUAUAAUGAAAACUUUUAAGCCAUUUCUAGCCUUAAAUUAUGUCAUAAUUUCUCAUAUUCUUUUCUAGCUAACCAUAUGCCAUUCCAUUUGAGGUUGUGCCUGCAAAACACCCAUCCUUCCAUUAAGAGUCAUAAUUCCAAAAAGCGUAAUGAAGACUUUUGAGCCUUUUCUAGCCAAAAACAAUGUCAUUAUUUAUCAUAUUCAGGACUCUUAAAUCUCUAGAGAACUCCACAACUUGCAUUCUCCAUUUGAACACUUUCCAAACACCAUAAACUUUCAAUCUUUAUGCUGUAGCUAUCAUUGCAUCUGCCCAAUCAUUUUCUUGUUCCAUCCCAUCUUCUUUGCCAAUUCAUAAUCUAGGAAGUCGUGGCCAUUUCCAUUUUCAAUCAGAAUUUGAAUUGGUUUUGUGAGAAUAGUCAAACUUAUAUUUAAUAUACUAGAAAGAUUUAUUCCUUAAACAUAGGGAUAUAAUUAGAUGAGAUCAUAGGAGUUAAUAUUUUAUUCUUGAUUUGAUUUUAUUUCCUUUAUAGUUGUUAUUUGUAAACUAUAUAUGUAUAGUGCAUUUGUGAAUAAUAUACACGCUCUUGAGAAAUUCCAAACCACAUGGCAUCGGAGCCAAUUCAAUCAGUCGAGGUUUACAGAGUCACAUGAUAGCGUGCACGUUGAUUCCACUAAGUUUGAUUCUAGGCGUUCUCCACUGGCAUGACAGGCAUCGCACAACACGCCAGGGUCUAGAGCUGCACAAUGAGUCUAGAGCUGCACGUUGGUCAGCAGUCUUCUGCGAGCGUCUGUGAGCGUCUUCUCCUGGCGUGACAUUCUCGAGUCACGAUGCAUGAGAACGUAUAUUCAUUAGUAUUCUUUGGCGUGGUCAAUGUUAGUUUUUUUCCUCGCACUGUGCGUCUCUCUCUCUUUAGAUUCCAUCAGCAGAAUCGUAUCACACCUAGGUUCAGACUCAUGUGUUCCACAGCUUCCAACUAUGGGUAUUGGUUUUGGCAUAGAAAUUGACUCAAAUAUUAAUCCAUAUGGUGGAACUUCCCAAGGGUUGAGUUCUGCCGAAGGGACCUCUACUCUUCUCAUCUCAGAAAAAUUCAAUGGCUGCAACUAUUGAGAAUGGGCCCAAUCAAUCAGACUUGCUAUUGGUAGAUAAGGCAAGCUGGGUUUAAUCACUGGCUACUCUGAGGUUCUAGAUGCAUUAGACUCGAAGGCUAUGGUGACGUGGGAGAUUGAUAAUUCUAGGGUAGCUUCAUGGCUGAUUAAUGCUAUGACACCAUAAAUUCGACGCUCCUUCAUGUUUCUUCCAAUGGCACGAGAUAUCUGGGAAGCAGUUAAGGGGUCAUAUUUGGAUGGUGAAGAUGGUGCACAUCUUUAUGAUUUGAAGACACGAACUUGGCAGAUCAAACAAGGCGAAUGAGAGGUAACAGAAUUCUAUUUGGACCUAGUUGCUAUAUGGCAAGAAAUUGAUCUCAACACAGAAGAGGUAUGGUCCUAUUCCAUUGAUGCAGUAAGGUACAAGCGUUGUAUUGAAGAUGAGCAGGUUUUUCAGUUCUUGGUUGGCAUUCAUCACUCACAGAUGAUGUUCAAAGUCGCAUAUUGGCUCGCUCCCCAUUACCAUCAACUCGUGAUGCUUUUGCUGAAGUUUAUCGAGAGGCUUCUCAUCGUAAGAUGAUGUUACCUACUCCUUCUUCUGUUCCUCUUUCAUCUGAAUCUUUUGCUUUAAAGCAGGCAUUUUGAUCAGGGAUAAAAAGAUGCAAAAGGCAAAAUUGUUUUUGACCAUUGUAAGAAGACUAGCCACUCGAAAGAUAAGUGUUGGGAUCUUCAUGGGAAGCCCCUAACUAGAAACCUCGUAAAGGUAAGUGUCAUGGUUACUGGGCUACAUCUGAGUCUAUACAAGGCAAACUUACUUCUUUACUAGCUGUUGAUAAGGACCAGUUAAACAAGCUCAUGGAAAUGCUUCAAUCCUUACAAUCCAUCUAGUCAUCCUCUCUAUCAUAUAAUGCUUCAGUGGCUAAGAAAGGAUCCUUCAUCGAGAUGAUUGGGAAUGCUGAGAAGUGUAAUGGACUCUACUACUUGGACGAGUCAACCGUUGUGCUUGAGAAUUCUACAGUGGAUGAUUUACAACCUGGGUCUACACAAGAAGCUGAGAUGAUUACAAAAGAUAUGGUUUGCAACACACUCAUUGCUAUUGGCCUAGAGGGAUUGGUGGUCGCCAUUAUUCUAGACAAGCUCUCUAGUGAGAAUUGCAGAGAGUGGGUUGAAUCCAUGAAGCUUGUGAUUAAAGGUUGUGGAAAACAAGGAUGCAUCUUUGGUAAGAUUAGUGCUCGAGGUUUUGAACAAGGCUUUGAAACUAUAUGAGUUCAAAAAUUCCACGGUUUCAUCUUGUCUUGUCAAUUCGACAACCUACCAUAAAAAGGAGCUUCAUGUUUCUCCCUAUAGCUUAUGAGAUAUGGAAAGCAGUUUGUGAAGCCUAUUCAAAUGGUGAGAAUACGUCACAAAUGUUUGAGAUUAGAACUAAGUUCUGGCUAGUGAAUUAAGUUGAAAAAAGUGUACCUCUAGCAUAGAGGCUGAUAAAAGUGUGUUUUGAAAAUGGGUCAAAGAUUUUGAACCCCUUCUAAGUAGUGGAAUA
Molecule: RNA transcript, 5438 nt
Organism: Prosopis cineraria
Lineage: Eukaryota; Viridiplantae; Streptophyta; Magnoliopsida; Fabales; Fabaceae
Exons: 6
Source: RefSeq, a predicted model, not a curated record